CGGGGUGAGGUAAUGUCUGGGAAACUGCCUGAUGGAGGGGGGUAACUACUGGAAACGGUAGCUAAUACCGCAUAACGUCGCAAGACCAAAGUGGGGGACCUUCGGGCCUCAUGCCAUCAGAUGUGCCCAGAUGGGAUUAGCUAGUAGGUGGGGUAACGGCUCACCUAGGCGACGAUCCCUAGCUGGUCUGAGAGGAUGACCAGCCACACCGGAACUGAGACACGGUCCAG
RNAcentral lists this ribosomal RNA (230 nucleotides) under uncultured bacterium. Its description in RNAcentral is "partial 16S ribosomal RNA". It matches the Rfam family "Bacterial small subunit ribosomal RNA", at positions 104 to 334 of the family's 1533-position model. The record is from RNAcentral.